RNAcentral lists this ribosomal RNA (497 nucleotides) under uncultured bacterium. RNAcentral describes it as "partial 16S ribosomal RNA". It matches the Rfam family "Bacterial small subunit ribosomal RNA", at positions 28 to 507 of the family's 1533-position model. The record is from RNAcentral.
GACGAACGCUGGCGGCGUGCCUAAUACAUGCAAGUUGAGCGCUGAAGGUUGGUACUUGUACCGACUGGAUGAGCAGCGAACGGGUGAGUAACGCGUGGGGAAUCUGCCUUUGAGCGGGGGACAACAUUUGGAAACGAAUGCUAAUACCGCAUAAAAACUUUAAACACAAGUUUUAAGUUUGAAAGAUGCAAUUGCAUCACUCAAAGAUGAUCCCGCGUUGUAUUAGCUAGUUGGUGAGGUAAAGGCCCACCAAGGCGAUGAUACAUAGCCGACCUGAGAGGGUGAACGGCCACAUUGGGACCGGGACACGGCCCAAAACCCUUCGGGGAGGAGCAGUAGGGAAUCAUUGGAAAAGGACGAAAGUCUGAACGCACAACGCCGCGGGGGGGAAGAAGGGUGUCGGAUCGGAAAACUCUGUUGGUAGGGAAGAAAGUUGGUGAGAGUGGAAAGCUCAUGAAGUGACGGUAACUACCCAGAAAGGGACGGCUAACUACGUG